RNAcentral lists this unclassified non-coding RNA (304 nucleotides) under Hevea brasiliensis (rubber tree). Lineage: Eukaryota; Viridiplantae; Streptophyta; Magnoliopsida; Malpighiales; Euphorbiaceae. The record is from RNAcentral.
GGACUAACAUGAAUGUUGACAUAAUCAACUUCCACUAAAGCAUCCUUGUGCAUUGGGAGACUGUUAAACUGGAUGAUUGUUCAAUUAUUCAGUAAUACUCUACACCAGGGAAUAUCAGUAGACAAUAGGGAGCCUUGGUGCAACGGUUAAGUUGUCUCCUUGUGACCUAUAAGGUCACAAUUCGAGCCCCAGAAGCAGCCAAUUGUGCUUGCAUUAGAAUAGGUUGUCUACAUCACACCCCUUGGGAGUGUGGCCCUUCCUCUGAUCCUGUGUGAACGCGGAAUGCCUUAUGCACUGAUUCACC